AGAGUUUGAUCCUGGCUCGGAGUGAAUGCUGGCGGUAUGCUUAACACAUGCAAGUCGAGCGAGAACGGAUUAUUUUUUCGGAAAUAAUUGUCAGCUAAGCGGCGGACGGGUGAGUAAUGUAUAGUUAAUUUGCCCCUUGGAAAGGGAUAACAGUUGGAAACGACUGCUAAUACCUUAUAUUCCUUUUUAAUUAAUUUAAAAAGGGAAAUGCUUUUGUGCCAAGGGAUAGGACUAUAUCCUAUCAGCUUGUUGGUGAGGUAAAAGCUCACCAAGGCUAUGACGGGUAGCUGGUUUGAGAGGAUGAUCAGCCACACUGGAACUGAGACACGGUCCAGACUCCUACGGGAGGCAGCAGUGGGGAAUAUUGGGCAAUGGGCGAAAGCCUAACCCAGCAAUACCGCGUGGAGGAUGACGGUUUUCGGAUUGUAAACUCCUUUUAACUGAGAAGAUAAUGACGGUAUCAGUUGAAUAAGCACCGGCUAACUCCGUGCCAGCAGCCGCGGUAAUACGGAGGGUGCAAGCAUUACUCGGAAUCACUGGGCGUAAAGAGCGCGUAGGCGGUUUAUUAAGUCUUGUGUGAAAUCUUACGGCUUAACCGUAAAAUUGCAUGAGAAACUGAUAAACUAGAGUGUGGGAGAGGCAGAUGGAAUUCUCGGUGUAGGGGUAAAAUCCGUAGAUAUCGAGAGGAAUACCCAUUGCGAAGGCGAUCUGCUGGAACAUAACUGACGCUGAUGCGCGAAAGCGUGGGGAGCAAA
RNAcentral lists this ribosomal RNA (755 nucleotides) under uncultured Campylobacterota bacterium. RNAcentral's name for it is "bacterial SSU rRNA". It matches the Rfam family "Bacterial small subunit ribosomal RNA", at positions 8 to 772 of the family's 1533-position model. The record is from RNAcentral. Lineage: Bacteria; Pseudomonadati; Campylobacterota.